AGUGAACGCUGGCGGUAGGCCUAACACAUGCAAGUCGAACGGCAGCACAGUAAGAGCUUGCUCUUACGGGUGGCGAGUGGCGGACGGGUGAGGAAUACAUCGGAAUCUACUUUUUCGUGGGGGAUAACGUAGGGAAACUUACGCUAAUACCGCAUACGACCUACGGGUGAAAGCAGGGGAUCUUCGGACCUUGCGCGAUUGAAUGAGCCGAUGUCGGAUUAGCUAGUUGGCGGGGUAAAGGCCCACCAAGGCGACGAUCCGUAGCUGGUCUGAGAGGAUGAUCAGCCACACUGGAACUGAAACACGGUCCAGACUCCUACGGGAGGAAGCAGUGGGGAAUAUUGGACAAUGGGCGCAAGCCUGAUCCAGCCAUACCGCGUGGGUGAAGAAGGCCUUCGGGUUGUAAAGCCCUUUUGUUGGGAAAGAAAAGCAGCAGGUUAAUACCCCGCUGUUCUGACGGUACCCAAAGAAUAAGCACCGGCUAACUUCGUG
RNAcentral lists this ribosomal RNA (492 nucleotides) under uncultured bacterium. RNAcentral's name for it is "partial 16S ribosomal RNA". It matches the Rfam family "Bacterial small subunit ribosomal RNA", at positions 29 to 507 of the family's 1533-position model. The record is from RNAcentral.